RNAcentral lists this ribosomal RNA (484 nucleotides) under uncultured bacterium. Its description in RNAcentral is "partial 16S ribosomal RNA". It matches the Rfam family "Bacterial small subunit ribosomal RNA", at positions 29 to 507 of the family's 1533-position model. The record is from RNAcentral.
AUUGAACGCUGGCGGCAUGCUUUACACAUGCAAGUCGAACGGCAGCGCGGGCUUCGGCCUGGCGUCGAGUGGCGAACGGGUGAGUAAUGCAUCGGAACGUGCCCAGUAGUUGGGGAUAGCCCGGCUAAAGCCGGAUUAAUACCGCAUACGACCUGAGGGUGAAAGCGGGGGACCGAAAGGCCUCGCGCUAUUGGAGCGGCCGAUGUCGGAUUAGCUAGUUGGUGGGGUAAAGGCUUACCAAGGCGACGAUCCGUAGCUGGUCUGAGAGGACGACCAGCCACACUGGGACUGAGACACGGCCCAGACUCCUACGGGAGGCAGCAGUGGGGAAUUUUGGACAAUGGGGGCAACCCUGAUCCAGCAAUGCCGCGUGCGGGAAGAAGGCCUUCGGGUUGUAAACCGCUUUUGUUCGGGAAGAAAUCCUGUGGGCUAAUACCCCGGGGGGAUGACGGUACCGGAAGAAUAAGCACCGGCUAACUACGUG